This 411-nucleotide long non-coding RNA is filed under the name Phascolarctos cinereus (koala). RNAcentral describes it as "lncRNA (ENSPCIG00000013821.2)". Lineage: Eukaryota; Metazoa; Chordata; Mammalia; Diprotodontia; Phascolarctidae. The record is from RNAcentral.
AACUCUUGAGUGUGGAUGUCAAGGCAACAAAGCUGCUGCGUAAAAAGAGAGAAAAAUAAUAAUAAAAUAAAACCCCAGAGAUUAAAAGAAAUGACACCCUGCCAAGAAUCCAUGGGGUACAUGGUUCAGCAUUUCAGAACCCACAACCACUGCAAGAAGUAUUUAUCUGAGAAAAACAACAAGACUUUGCCUUACCUUUCCAAAUGUGUUUAAAGGAUUGACAACAGUGAUUUCUGGACCCCCAAGAAGUAGCUGCCUUUUCCUCCUGUUUUCUUGAACCUUCAUCCAAGAACUAACUGGCUUUUAACAUCCUUCCUUGACACCUUGGUCUCACACUGAGACUAUGCGGUAAGGAUCUCAGGACUGCUAUAACUUUUAUUGUCCCACUGACUGUUUAAAUAUAAAACAAUG